RNAcentral lists this ribosomal RNA (502 nucleotides) under uncultured bacterium. RNAcentral's name for it is "partial 16S ribosomal RNA". It matches the Rfam family "Bacterial small subunit ribosomal RNA", at positions 28 to 507 of the family's 1533-position model. The record is from RNAcentral.
GACGAACGCUGGCGGCGUGCUUAACACAUGCCAGUCGAACGGUGAAGGGGUCUGCUUUUGUGGGCCCUGGAUGAGUGGCGAACGGGUGAGUAACACGUGAGUAACCUGCCCCCUUCUUCUGGAUAACCGCAUGAAAGUGUGGCUAAUACGGGAUAUUCUGGGUCUGUCGCAUGAUGGGUCUGGGAAAGAUUGCGCCUUUGGGUGUUUUUGGUGGGGGAUGGGCUCGCGGCCUAUCAGCUUGUUGGUGGGGUGAUGGCCUACCAAGGCGGUGACGGGUAGCCGGCCUGAGAGGGUGGACGGUCACACUGGGACUGAGACACGGCCCAGACUCCUACGGGAGGCAGCAGUGGGGAAUAUUGCACAAUGGGCGCAAGCCUGAUGCAGCGACGCCGCGUGAGGGAUGGAGGCCUUCGGGGUGUAAACCUCUUUCGCCAGUGAAGCAGGCCUGCUCCGUGUGGGUGGGUUGACGGUAGCUGGAGAAGAAGCGCCGGCUAACUACGUG